Molecule: ribosomal RNA, 550 nt
Filed under: uncultured bacterium
Lineage: Bacteria
Description: bacterial SSU rRNA
Rfam family: Bacterial small subunit ribosomal RNA
Source: RNAcentral
UGGGGAAUCUUCCGCAAUGGACGAAAGUCUGACGGAGCAACGCCGCGUGAGUGAUGACGGCCUUCGGGUUGUAAAGCUCUGUUAAUCGGGACGAAUGGUUCUUGUGCGAAUAGUGCGAGGAUUUGACGGUACCGGAAUAGAAAGCCACGGCUAACUACGUGCCAGCAGCCGCGGUAAUACGUAGGUGGCAAGCGUUGUCCGGAAUUAUUGGGCGUAAAGCGCGCGCAGGCGGAUCAGUCAGUCUGUCUUAAAAGUUCGGGGCUUAACCCCGUGAUGGGAUGGAAACUGCUGAUCUAGAGUAUCGGAGAGGAAAGUGGAAUUCCUAGUGUAGCGGUGAAAUGCGUAGAUAUUAGGAAGAACACCAGUGGCGAAGGCGACUUUCUGGACGAAAACUGACGCUGAGGCGCGAAAGCCAGGGGAGCGAACGGGAUUAGAUACCCCGGUAGUCCUGGCCGUAAACGAUGGGUACUAGGUGUAGGAGGUAUCGACCCCUUCUGUGCCGGAGUUAACGCAAUAAGUACCCCGCCUGGGGAGUACGACCGCAAGGUUG